Small nucleolar RNA from Erpetoichthys calabaricus (reedfish), 81 nucleotides. Lineage: Eukaryota; Metazoa; Chordata; Cladistia; Polypteriformes; Polypteridae. The record is from Ensembl.
UAGAUAUGAUGAACUGACUCUCUGAGCAAAACUGAUGAUUGUUUUUACUUUAAUCCUCUAGAUAGUCAAGUACUGAUCUAG